UUGGCAUACAUUGUUCCUGAACUGGUGAGA
This 30-nucleotide non-coding RNA is filed under the name Rattus norvegicus (Norway rat). The record is from RNAcentral. Lineage: Eukaryota; Metazoa; Chordata; Mammalia; Rodentia; Muridae.